RNAcentral lists this ribosomal RNA (1204 nucleotides) under Triticum aestivum (bread wheat). Its description in RNAcentral is "partial small subunit ribosomal RNA". The record is from RNAcentral. Lineage: Eukaryota; Viridiplantae; Streptophyta; Magnoliopsida; Poales; Poaceae.
CAUGAAACAGUUGGUUACCUAAUAAUGUUUAAACUGGAAGAGUUAUACCACAAGUAAAGGUACACGUCUUUAUCUAACAUAGUACGAAACAAUAUCUAAGACAUCCAGACGAGACAUGGUUCUUGGACGUCUAAAGUUAUAACGAUACACGUAUAUUCGAAGUAAUUAAACAACCCGUAAUUGGAGUCAGUGUAUAAUUUGUACCUACCAUCACUAAAGAAAAAUUUCGUAAAUAGUAAAGCUUUAAUGCAGGAAGUAUCGAACUAAUUUCCAGAUCUAUUCAUUCCAAAUAGAGAUGUGAUAGAAGACGGACAAUAUAAAAGGGAUAUUUGGAGUGGGAUGGGCGAUAAGACCCCGUAGGCGCCGCGAACGUACUAAAGCGAACUUGCUAAGUGCCUCGGACGUGAACCCACACUACGUGCCCUCCGACGCGAAGCGGAGAAGGAGCGAGUCGUUGUCCUCGUAAACGUCACCCCACCACGCCGGGUCCCUGUCUUCAACGAUUUCUUUCGAGGCUGUAAUAUUAGAAUCUACUACUGGAGUGUAGAUAACACUUCCCAGUAACCUUACCUGGUUCAAUACUUACAAGCACUUUACGCUAUGAUCUUAGAAACUUCGCCCACGAUAGUUCUAGUACGGUUUCCGUCUCGCACGGUUUCCGCUGCGAGUAAGGGCAAGAAUCACUCUACGCAAAUGAGCUACGUUUCAUACUCGUAACGUCUGAGACCGCUCGACAACUUCCAGCUGCUCCUCCCGCGGCGGUGGUGGCAGUAGUCCGAUCAGGUGUAGGUGCGCGACGAACCGCAGUGAUCCAGUGGCCGUGUUGAGGAGUGCGGGUCCAGCAAGUUGUAAAAGAAAGCGAAAACCACGCAGUGUAGAUCUCAGAAAGAAAGGGUAAAAUGGCACAAACGUACCAUUCUACAAACCAACCUAAACUUCCAAGCAUCUGAACCUAGGUUUCGAAGUUCGAGAACAUCUUUAAUCUUGACUCCCGGAAAAUUUUACUCAGGACGUAUUAUUACAACAAGUCACCCUACGUAUUAAAAACAAACAUAACUACAUGACUAAAGUAGUAGUAUACUGAUGUUACUUCUUCGACACACAUAUUUAUAAUGAUUGACUACUAUGAAACGUAGUCACUAAAGUUAAGACAACCGCGAGGAAGUGUAACGAACACUUACACUCCGAAUUUUCAAAGUUGGGA